GUUGAACGCUGGCGGCAGGCCUAACACAUGCAAGUCGAGCGGAUGAAGGGAGCUUGCUCCUGGAUUCAGCGGCGGACGGGAGAGUAAUGCCUAGGAAUCUGCCUGGUAGUGGGGGAUAACGUGCUAAAACGGGCGCUAAUACCGCAUACGUCCUGAGGGAGAAUGUGAGGGAUCUUCGCACCUCGCGCGAUCUGAUGAGCCUAGGUCGGAUUAGCUAGUUGGUGGGGUAAAGGCCUACCAAGGCGACGAUCCGUAACUGGUCUGAGAGGAUGAUCAGUCACACUGGGAGUGAGACCCGGUACAGAGUCAUACGGGAGGCAGCAGUGGGGAAUAUUGGACAAUGGGCGAAAGCCUGAUGCAGACAUGCCGAGUGUGUGAAGAAGGUCUUCGGAUUGUAAAGCACUUUAAGUUGGGAGGAAGGGCAGUAAGUUAAUACCUUGCUGUUUUGACGUUACCAACAGAAUAAGCACCGGCUAACUUCGUG
This 484-nucleotide ribosomal RNA is filed under the name uncultured bacterium. RNAcentral describes it as "partial 16S ribosomal RNA". It matches the Rfam family "Bacterial small subunit ribosomal RNA", at positions 28 to 507 of the family's 1533-position model. The record is from RNAcentral.